CGUGCAGGCGGCCUUGCAAGUCGGACGUGAAAUCCCACGGCUCAACCGUGGAAGUGCAUUCGAAACUGCGAGGCUGGAGUCCUGGAGAGGAAAGUGGAAUACUCGGUGUAGAGGUGAAAUUCGUAGAUAUCGAGUGGAACACCGGUGGCGAAGGCGGCUUUCUGGACAGGUACUGACGCUGAGACGCGAAAGCGUGGGAGCAAACA
RNAcentral lists this ribosomal RNA (206 nucleotides) under uncultured bacterium. RNAcentral's name for it is "partial 16S ribosomal RNA". It matches the Rfam family "Bacterial small subunit ribosomal RNA", at positions 568 to 774 of the family's 1533-position model. The record is from RNAcentral.